UACGUAGGUGGCAAGCGUUGUCCGGAUUUACUGGGCGUAAAGAGCGCGCAGGCGGCUGGUCAAGUCCGAUGUGAAAUCUCCCGGCUCAACUGGGAAACUGCAUCGGAAACUGAUCGGCUUGAAGGUGGGAGAGGGCAGUGGAAUUCCCGGUGUAGUGGUGAAAUGCGUAGAUAUCGGGAGGAACACCAGUGGCGAAGGCGACUGCCUGGCCCAUUCUUGACGCUGAGGCGCGAAAGCUAGGGGAGCGAACGGG
Molecule: unclassified non-coding RNA, 253 nt
Filed under: Bacteroidota bacterium
Lineage: Bacteria; Pseudomonadati; Bacteroidota
Also listed under: 1 other name
Description: partial 16S ribosomal RNA
Rfam family: Bacterial small subunit ribosomal RNA
Source: RNAcentral